Molecule: transfer RNA, 69 nt
Filed under: Agasicles hygrophila
Lineage: Eukaryota; Metazoa; Arthropoda; Insecta; Coleoptera; Chrysomelidae
Description: tRNA-Lys
Source: RNAcentral
CAUUAGGUGGCUGAAAGUAAGCAAUGGAAUUUUAAACCAUAUUAUAAUACCUAACAAAUAUUCCUAAUG